UAGAGACAAGGUCUUGCUCUGUCAACCAGGCUAGAGUGCACUGGGACUAAUGUUCAAGGAGAUUGGAACCACCUGGACCAUCUGGAUAUCCCACAGAAGACCACACUGACCCAUUAUUACACUGAUGAUAUCAUGCUGAUUGGGCAAGAGAAGCAAGAGGAAGGAAGGCCCACAGAAGUUGCUGUGUGAACAUGUGUGGAGAUGUGAAUCCAUAUAGCUCAAAGGGUGGACUGUGACACCUAUGAGAAUUCUCAGAAGGCACAGGCAGUGGAAUUCAGAACUGGAUGUUGGACAAGACAGAUAUCUUCCAGAAUAUUUCCUCAAUUGUAGAGAAAACAAAUUCUUAAAGCUUCUGGUGAAAUUUUCAUGUAAAUAAUUUGGAGAAGUUAAAUUGCAAGAGAUUACUAAUUCUCAGUUCUCAGCAGACACUGUCUUUUAACUUCCAAAAGCUUGAAAGAUUGCAAGACCAUCGGGCCAGGUGUGAUAUUGAAUAUGUUUGGUGCUUGGCAGCCUCCGUAAUGCAGACUUAUUAAGUACAGAGGCACUGGGGAAGAGCAAGACCUGCAGCUGAUACCAUGACUGCUUGGCAAAGGAGAAGGAAGACUUUUAAACCUCCUGGGAAUGAAAAUAAGCCAUUUCCUUCAGAAAAAGCAUGGAAAUACAGGACUGAGCUCUGGAAAAUUUGCCAAAAGAAGUGAAAAAUAGUAGGGUCUAAAAAGGUCAAAUAAUAACCACACAUCCAUGUACUUGCUCUGGUUUUCCAGUAGUUGGAUCUAAAACCUGCGAUUCAAAAUUUCUGGAUGAUUUUAAUGUGAUUUACUCAUCUUUUCUAUGAUUUAUUGACAAUAUCCAUCUACAGAUACUGACAGUGCAAAGGAUUAGAAAGAGUCCACAUAUCCAUGUGUUACAAGUUCUGCACAUGCAAUGUGAAGACCCCUAGCUCUAUCUAGUAGUUGUUUAAAUGGUCAGAAAAUUAUUCUUAGGUUGGGUCUUUUGUUUCCAAAGCAAGAUUUAUUUCUUAAAAGGAUGGCUGCACUUAUUAGAGGUUGUUAGGAUGCUAAGCAUGGCUUUAGGAUCAAAGAAGCUAUCAGAAGUUCAAAAUUUUAUGUCAGGAUAAAAAGUUUCAUCAUGAUCAUCAAACAGCUCCUAUGGAGGACUGCUACUUUCAGAAGAAUAACUUCUUUCAAAUUUGGAGAUGGUUAAAUGCUCCUAUUGGGAAAAGGGAUGGAGUUCUUUAAACUUUUCCUUGUAUUAAAUUCUGCCACAAGUUGUGUUAAAAGGACAUUAUCACUGAGAAAUCAACAUUCCUUUAAACUGAAGCAACUAGAGCACAUCCCACUUCAUGCAGGAUGUGGAGUUGAAGAUGAAGAACUGACAAAAGCAUUCCACACUUUCCCCUCAUGAAAUGGUCCAAGAGUUUAAAGCAGAGGUUCUUGUACUUUGGAGGUUUAAAUAACACUUCAAAAUCCUAGAAUUUUUUGCUCCGCACUUGAGGAGAUUUAAAGACUCACAAAUGCACUAAGCAAGCCAGUGAUCAUUACAACACAAUUGCAUGCAUCACAGGUCUUUAAAUUAUCCUGUAGUUACAGAGCACUAGCCCCUUACUUGUCCUUUAGCACUGUGGAUACUCUGCUUACUUCCCUAACUGCUGUACCCAUAAAUUCCCAAAGGAAAGUUCUGGAAUGUCCUAGUAAACAUGCAGGAUUGGAUUUUUUUUUUUUUUGGUAGUGCUUUGCAACAUUUUGUUGCAGAAAAUUGUAGCCAGCUAUUCACUGUGGUGCCCUACUUGCUCAGCUGGGCUAAUAUCUGUGGAUGACUCCGCAAUGGGUGAAGUUGAUAAAGACCUCUCUCACACCUCCUGUGCCAGAAAUUUUCACUGUCUCCUGCAUCACAAGAGACCAUAAUAUGCACACAGCUCCCUCUCUCACGUUUUUAAGCCCAGUUUAGGCUCUCCUCCCACUUCUAUUCUUUCAUAGCUCAGUUGUUUCAUUUUUUAAAUUCCGUCCUCUGUUUUCUCAUUGAAAACGAAUGAGGCAUAUUUGAUUUAAGCUAAAUCUACAGCAUAGAGGUCCUCAGAGUUCUAUUUGCUACAGUUCCCACUACCUGACCCCAUGUCUACUAUACUCUUCAUCUUCUCUCUGAUUCUUUUUCUUUACUUGCCCUGUUUCUCCAUUCUUUUUCCUUUUUCUCCAUCUGAAGCUCUAAGAGUAAGGGAAACAAUCUUAGGAUAUUAGGUUCUAUUCCCAUAGGAAGAGUAUACUAUGAAUUUUCAUGGAAUUCUUUCUUCUUAGAGUAUAGAUGCAUUCCAUUGAAAGACUCCUUCAAGGUAUGGAAUAAUUGGGUAAUUAGGUACAGAUUACAUCAUUCUUACAUCAUGCUUAAAAAAAUACAAUAGGGUAUUCUGAGCAUAUAACGUGAAUCAGCAUAAUCAGGUGCAAUUCUUUCCCAAGACAAGGUCAAGAAAAAUUUCCCGAGUGUCCACCUAGAAAAUAGAGUAUGGCAAAAGUUCCAAAGAGCUUUAUGAAGUACAGUAAUUAUAAACAAAAUUAUUUUUCCCAGGAAGUUACCUCUUAAAGUGUAAUAAGUAUAUUGCAUAAGCAAAAUCUCUUAUAUGUUAAAUUCCGUUUUAUGUCUUUGUUUUUUGUUUCCUGUUUGUAGAAUCUGGGACUGGUAACAUAAGCUUAUUUUGUACAACUUUAUGGCUUUGUCUUCAGCUUGAGUAAAAAGCUCUAAAAAAAAGAUUUCUGGUCUUAUAGUUGACAGAAGUCACCAAACCAUACUUUAUACUAUUGUUUGUGGCAAGGACUGGAGAAAGUAUUAAAUUAUGUUUUAUAAAGUAUUAAAUUAUGCUUUAUAAACUAUAAAUUAUGUUUUAUAAACUAUCAAAGAAACCACAAAUCCUCAGAGCAGAUACCUUUUUUUUGAGGCAAACUUGUUCUAAUUUUUGGAUUUCUUAGAUAUUUAAGAAAACAAACAAUCAGGGUAGAAGAUAUCCUAGCUCACUAGGUCCCUCUGACAUGUGCUUUCAUCAUGCCACACACCUUUCUCACUCCCCAUUCCCCACCUCUUGACAUUUCACAUCAGUGUGACUUUAUUAGUAUAUCACACGAAUGUCUCUUCCCAUUGGAGUGUGAGCUUUAGGCUAGCAGGGUUCCUUUCAUCCAUCAUUGUAUUCCCAGACCUGGCACAGGGGCUGAGCACAUGGUAGGCUUCGAGGCCUGUAAGGGAUAUGAGGCUCUCACCUCACUCCCUACUGUGGGCUUGUGGCAGAACAAGGGCAGUUCAAAUGGAUUAUCUCAGUCAUAAAAGAAGACACCUAGUAGAAAAAAACCGCUGAACUGAAAGCCCAAGGGCCUGGAUUUUAGGUCCAACUCUACUAAAUUGCACCUUGGCUUGUGGUCUUCAGUUUUCAUAUAUUUAAAAUGAAGUUUCUAUAAGAAGAGUGAUUAAGAUCGCUUCCAGUUCUCAAAUGUUAUGGUUCUCACUGGUGCCAGGGUAGAAGAUUGCUUAUCAUUGAUUCAAUGAAUAAGAAAUAUUAAUGAUAGUACUAUUGCCUAUCAUAGAUAGAUAAUGCCUAUUGCACUUUAAGAACCAAACAGAUCUCAGUUUAAAUGCUAAGUCUAGCUUAUAUUAUUUUUCAAUUAAUUAAUAUCACUCAACUUCUACUCUUCAUUUUUCUGUUUUGAAAUAUGUGGGAAAUAUGCCAUUAAAAUAUUUGAAUAAAGGAGCAAAAUAAUUGCAAUGUUCUGGCAAGGUGAAUAUUAAAUUUCAUGGUGACUAUUGCAUUUCAAAACUAUGUCAUUUUUACUUAAUUUAUUUACUGUAGUAUUAACUUAUGCAAGCUAACAAGGCCAGACCUUAUUGGUGAUGUGGCCUAUCACCCACAUAUUUGAAAUUAUAAAAUAAAGAACUGUGUUUCCUUUAUCAAUAGAAAGUCUCAGCAUGCAGAAGACACCAUCAUCUGACUUUUCUUAAACUUCUUGUCACUUCAUCCGGCCCUCCCCCAUAUGAGUUUAGUUUAAGACCCAUUAAACACUUUGUGCAUCUUGCCCAUGAACAUCCUUGCCUAUUUCAUUCUUCCUCCGACUUGCAUAUAGUAUUCUUUCUGCCUCAAGAGUUCUCUUUUUCCCCAGGUUCACCUGGCAAAUUUCUACUUGCUUUAAUUCUCAGAUCAAAAAUCACUUUCUUUGUGAGGUUUUUCUGGAAAUCCCUGGGUUCAUGAGGGCAGGGACAGUAUCUUAUUUAUUGUAAAAUCAAUUAGCAACAUCUAACAAAUUUUGGCAAAAGCAGGUUCGCAGAAAAUAAAUUUAUGAUAAUUAGCCUAGUCUUACAUCUCUGCCUAUUUUUCUGAAUGUACUUGAUUAGAAUAAAAGGUAGCAAUCCAUUACAUAAACCACCUUUCUCUAUUAAGCAUUCUGCACUAGUAGAAUCUAAAAUUUUUAAGACCUAGUUGUCUUAGUUAUCCAAGUAUAAAACAAAUACACAUCUGAAGAAUUCUUAACAGCUGAAAAAUUCUUUGUUCAGGGAGACAAAUGGUUUUUUAACAAAUCAUUCUCUUUGUAGCUGAGUAAUUUUUUUUUAAGUUUGAGGUAAUUUUCUAGGAGAGUUCUAAAGAGUGGAGUUAAUUACAAGAAAGGCCCAUUGUGUCAUCACUGAUUGUAGAAUACUUCCCAGGGUUUGACUUAUUUGAAGGACAAUCUCCUUAGUGAAAAAUCUUAAAGAGCAAGAAAAUAUGACGACUUUCUCAUAUGAUUUAAAGCCAGUGCCUAUCAUGGCUAAGAAGGUUUGCUAGAGGUUUGAAUAAUCCUCAUGGCACAGUGAACUUUUGGUUUAACUACUGGAAUGUUCAGUCAAAACCAACAUGUUGCACACUCAGCUUUUUUUUUUUUUUUUUGAGACAGAGUCUCGCUCUGUUGCCCAGGCUGGAGUGCAGUGGCGCGAUCUCCGCUCACUGCAAGCUCCACCUCCCGGGUUCAUGCCAUUCUCCUGACUCAGCCUCCCGAGUAGCUGGGAUUACAGGCGCCCGCCACCAUGCUCGGCUAAUUUUCUGUAUUUUUUUUUUUUUCAGUAGAGACAGGGUUUCACUGUGUUUGCCAGGAUGGUCUCAAUCUCCUGACCUCAUGAUCUGCCCGCCUCGGCCUCCCAACGUGCUGGGAUUACAGGCGUGGGCUACCGUGCCCUGCCUACACACUCAGCUUUUAAGAGAAAAAGCAAAACACAAGAAAAUAAAUUCAUAUCAGGAGUUUUAUAUAAGUAGGAUUUCCUGGGAUAUGGUCUGAGGUCAGUAAACACCUUGUAUGUAUGUAGGCUUGAUAUUUUUAUUCAUUCAACAAAUAUUUAUUGAGCAUCUACUAUAUGCCAGGAAUUGUUCUAGGCUCUGGAGACACAAGAGUGAGCAAAAGAGAAAAAAAUCCAUGCCUUUGUGUAGCUUCGCUUUUAUUGAAGGGAGAAAGAUAAUAAAUGAAUUAUUAGGUAAAAUAUGGAGUUACGUUGUGUGAUGAAAUCACUCACUGGGGAAGCAAUAGUUCAGGAUUCUUUUCUUCUGAGUUUGUUCUAGUUGGAGACUUAGGAGUUGGUGGUGUGGUAGAGACACGUUUUCUCUGGGCUCCAGUAGUAACUUAUUUCUCUACUGUGGGUAUCAAUGACUCUGAAUUUUCUACUGAACUACAGAUAGCUGCCUCACCAGAAUUUGAACUUCUCUAGAUAAGAACUGUUUCUUUUAUCUUUAUAUCUUUGGUGCCUAGAAUAUGUGCCCAUUUUUCAUGAAAUACCUUCCACUGGUUUCUGAGAAUCCAUACUUCCUCUAGACUUUUUUCUAUUUUCUUCCAACUUUUGGUAGCCCCACAGCUUUUUUGCAACCACUUUUCUUCUGCCCAAGCCUAAAAUGUGAUGAUUAUCAGAGUUCCAGCCAAUCCUUUAUGGAUUCUAAUUAUCUCUCAAUGAUAUUCCUAUAGCUUUAAUUCCCAGCUAGAUAUUUACAACCUCCCAAACUACUUUUGCAGCCCGGACUUCUCUCUGGAUGCUAGAGAACCAGGCUCUUCUAUCCAAGCAGACUUAUGAUCAGCAGGACCUGAAUGUCCUACAAACCUCUCAGAGUCUUCAUAUUUGAAGCAAAUGGUCAUCAUCCCUCCCUCAACUUGCUCUAUGCCCAAUGUUUCUGACUUCAGUGAAUGGCAUCAGAAGUGACCUAAGCCAGAAGCUUCUCUCUUUUUUUUCUUUGACUCCUCAUUUCCUCCCCUUUCCCUAAAACAAGCCAAUUGUUCAACUCCUUUAGAUUCUACCUCACUAACAUAUUUUAAAUCUCUGUCCAUUUUUUUCAAUUCCUAUGACCACACCUCAGUUUAGCCCAUAGUCAUAUGGUAUCUAAAUUACUUGCCACAGCCUCAUUCAAUGACACACAUGUACUGACUAUAUCAUGUACCUAGAUCCUGGGUAGCAAAAAUAGAAGCCCGUGCUCCUUUGGGGAUGUUGGUGUGAUAACUCCUCUUUGGUUUCCCUACCUGUAAUAUUGUCUCACUCAAACUCAUUUUUUUAAACUGUAGAUAGAGUGAUUUGUCUAAAUCCAAAUCUGAUCAUGUUAGUUCCCUGCAUAAAAUUCUUCAAAUCCUUUAAUUUGUCUUCACUCUUCUCAGGAAAACCCUCAAAUUUCUUAGCAUGAAAUCCAAGGAAGGCCCCUUAUAAUAUGAACCAUUAUUCUUUCUCUAGAUUAAUCUUUUGCACUAAUUCCAAAUGCCACAUUACAGCACACAAAGCCACUUGAAGUUUCCCCAAAUGGUAUGCUGUCUUACCUCCACAGAAAACAUGUAGUUUUCUAUGACUAAAGAAAAAUCUUCCAUCUGAAUAUAGACACACAUCAAGCUUCCCUUUCUCCAGUUGUUCCUCUUUACUCCAAGACAAACCUCACUGUGCCACCAUCCUGCUCCUUCCUUAACACUAGACUGAUACCAGGCCUUAGUCUACCAAGAGUGUAGAAAUAGGUAGUCUCUUGAUUAUAUGACAGACAGAAAAUACCCGUGGAGUUUUACAUAACAUAUCUCCUAAUCUGAUGGAUUAUGGAAUGUGAAUGAUUCUUCUGUCUUUGGAGAUCAUAAAAUGGACAGAGCUACAAAGAACUACAAAGUGUUUAGAACAACACUUUUCCAACUAGAAUAGAGAUAAUGCAUUCCAGAACACUGCAGCUUGCAUAAUUAUCUUUCUAGGCAAUAAGUACUUGUCUGAAGUAAGAACCAUAAUAUCAUAAUCCAACCCCUAUGCUCCUGUUUCAACCUGAAGCCACACCCUUUUCAUGAACUCAGUCAGCCAUCAGUUGUCAAUGUCCACUUAUGCUCCAUCCAAGCCCUUUCCCUGCUACUCCUGGAGAGGACCUCAAUAUCAGCUAGGGGAGCUGGAAGACUAUGCUUAGGGAUUUUUUUGUAACUGCUUUGACACAGACUUUAUAUGUUUAAAGGAAAUGAACAUCUUUGCAUUGCCUUCAUUCACCAAAUGAUGUCUUCUAUCCAUGCAUGCUGCCCUAGUCACGAGAGUGGGUUGCAUGUAACAUACUUGUGAUUCCAUGAAGAGUGGGCACAGGGGAGUGCUGGUCAGGCUAAAGUUUGGGACAGAUGAAGAUGAUAUUAGGAGAAGAAGAAAAUAACUUCUGCUCACCACCAUCAAAGAUGAGUUUCCCAUGAGUAUAUAUUUUUUUCCUUUGGGCAUCAAAUGGCCUCCUUUGGCUUAAACUUUAACUUAUAUGAAAUGAUUUUUUAUACCACCAGGCCAUUUAUCUUUGUUACCCAAUAACUUCUCUAAAAAAAACCCAUGAUCAUUGGGAGGCUGAGGUGUGUGGAUCGCCUGAGGUCAGGAGUUCGAGACCAGCCUGCCUAACAUGGCAAAACCCUGUUUCUACUAAAAAUGCAAAAAAUUAGCCAGGCGUGGUGGCAGGCGCCUGUACUCCCAGCUACUUGGGAGGCUGAGGCCAGAUAAUUGCUUGAACCCAGGAGGCGGAGGUUGCAGUGAGCUGAGAUUGCGCCACUGCACUCGAGCCUGGGAGACAAGAGCGAAACUCUGUCUCAAAAACAAACAAACAAACAAAACCAUGAACAUGUUCAUGUGCCUGAGAAAUGAACUACAAUGAUAACUGUUACCAAGAGUUGGCUUUGUAUCGGUGAAGAAAAAACUGGGGAUGGUUACAGGAUAAUUUGGUUCUGGGUAAAAAUUAAUAAGGUGACACUGGGCAAAUCAUUUCAUAUGUGGAGAUCUAGGAGUGUAGGCAUCAUAAAUUGUCAGAUGCUGUUAUUAUUAAUUGACUUUUAGGUUAUUCCUUUUAACUGUUCCUUGAUUAAUGCAAAUGUUAAGCCUCUUAUUAUUGGGGAUAUCAACAAUUCCCAAAAUAUGUGGAUCCCUGUUUUUAAAAAUGAAAACGGCCCCUUAUUUUAAUCCAGUUUAUCUAUCACUCAAGUUACAGAAUAUCAUAUCUGAACAAACCUUUUUGCCAUUAAUAUUUACUGAAACACAUGCUAUGAGCUCUUAACAAAACUUCCUGGUGAAGUGACCCCCCAAAGAUAAAACACGUAUUUUCCCUUUCAUCUUUUUGCUGAGAGGCUGAAGUAGGAAAGUCUCACUGGGUCAUCCCUCCUGGAGGGCUGCAUGUUGUUAUCACAAGCUACAGGGCAAACAGGAAGGGCUCCAUGGGGGUGUGAAGAACUCACACAUCCCAGGGGCCCACUGUUAGCUGCUAGAAUUAGCUGCACAAUUAUCCCGGUCACACCAAAUGGUCACCAAGGGUGAUAGAGAUCCUAGAUGCAACUUAAUGAACCAUAUUCAGUUUUAUGAUAACAACCAUGUGUAAGCAGACACGCUUGACCUAACUCUGAGAUGGGCAUAUGCUUACUUGCAACAGAAUCUGCUGGGUCACUUGAUGUAUUUAAAUAAAAGAAAUGUGAUUAAUGGCAACAAAACAUGUCUUUCUCAGAACAGUGCCUUGUCAACAGUAACCAGCUAGCCUGACCUUUCAAUGGCUCCCUGAAGGGUGGGUAUAUACACUAUUCGUUAAUUGUGGCUUAUAUUUGUACCUUGGUAUAAAGCAAUAUAGCUGUCAAAAAUACUGUAUAUUGAAUUUUUAAAAAGUUGUUAUCAAUUAAAAAAUUGUUAUUGCCAUAAUUUAAGGUGGCAUUGGCCAAUUAUAAAUUUGUUGGAUAUUAGUUCUCACU
RNAcentral lists this long non-coding RNA (9188 nucleotides) under Homo sapiens (human). RNAcentral describes it as "HSALNT0087047". Lineage: Eukaryota; Metazoa; Chordata; Mammalia; Primates; Hominidae. The record is from RNAcentral.